AACAAGAUAAGGCUAAGUGUAAAUCUUGUGGGAAAUUACUUGUUCAUAGGUUACUGGAGAUCGUAGCGGCACGGGUAGUUUAGUUAAGCAUAUAAAAUAACACCCUAACGAUAAGGCUAGAUUUUUGCAAUUGAAAGCGCAACAAGAGGGGAGGACAAGUGUUGAUUCUACAGCUAACUCAAGUACUGGUUCAAAUCUAGUUCAACCAGGAAUAAACACAGUCACCGGAGGUAUUUUAUAUUACGAUCCAAAUAAGGAUCGGGAAGAAUUAGCGAAAAUGAUUACUGUUAUGUGUUUGCCUUAUUCUUUUGCUUCUAAUCCUGCAUGGAUUCAUUAUAUUAGA
RNAcentral lists this long non-coding RNA (343 nucleotides) under Nicotiana benthamiana. Its description in RNAcentral is "long non-coding RNA (NBEN_LNC020098)". The record is from RNAcentral. Lineage: Eukaryota; Viridiplantae; Streptophyta; Magnoliopsida; Solanales; Solanaceae.